GGAGGAUUCGGAAUCGCUCUUUGUCGGUGAUGACCCCUCCGCCUCCACCCCACGGUACCAGGAGGCGAAGCAGGUGAAGACCAGAGGUCCUGACAUGGGGCUGCCCGUGCUGGCCCCGACGGACUCGCUGGUCCAGAAGGAGGAGGGACAAGGGCUGCCCCAGAUCCUGCCGACCACCAUCGCACCGCGGAUCCCGUCACUCCGUCUGGCCGCCCUGAAUGUGCCCCUCGCUGGCGACAUGAGCGGGAUCCGAGGUGCCGACCUGCAGUGCUACCGGC
This is a long non-coding RNA of Harpia harpyja (harpy eagle), 278 nucleotides long. RefSeq lists it as uncharacterized. The record is from RefSeq and is a predicted model, not a curated record. The transcript has 4 exons. Lineage: Eukaryota; Metazoa; Chordata; Aves; Accipitriformes; Accipitridae.